This 467-nucleotide ribosomal RNA is filed under the name uncultured bacterium. RNAcentral describes it as "partial 16S ribosomal RNA". It matches the Rfam family "Bacterial small subunit ribosomal RNA", at positions 28 to 506 of the family's 1533-position model. The record is from RNAcentral.
GACGAACGCUGGCGGCGUGCUUAACACAUGCAAGUCGAACGGAAAGGCCCUGCUUUUGUGGGGUGCUCGAGUGGCGAACGGGUGAGUAACACGUGAGUAACCUGCCCUUGACUUUGGGAUAACUUCAGGAAACUGGGGCUAAUACCGGAUAGGAGCUCCUGCUGCAUGGUGGGGGUUGGAAAGUUUCGGCGGUUGGGGAUGGACUCGCGGCUUAUCAGCUUGUUGGUGGGGUAGUGGCUUACCAAGGCUUCGACGGGUAGCCGGCCUGAGAGGGUGACCGGCCACAUUGGGACUGAGAGACGGCCCAGGCGCCUACGGGAGGCAGCAGGGGGGAAUGUUGCACAAUGGGCGGAAGCGUGAUGCAGCAACGCCGCGUGCGGGAUGACGGCCUUCGGGUUGUAAACCGCUUUCGCCUGUGACGAAGCGUGGGUGACGGUAAUGGGUAAAGAAGCACCGGCUAACUACGU